CCUACGGGAGGCAGCAGUAGGGAAUAUUGCUCAAUGGGGGAAACCCUGAAGCAGCAACGCCGCGUGGAGGAUGAAGGUUUUCGGAUUGUAAACUCCUUUUGUUAGAGAAGAUAAUGACGGUAUCUAACGAAUAAGCACCGGCUAACUCCGUGCCAGCAGCCGCGGUAAUACGGAGGGUGCAAGCGUUACUCGGAAUCACUGGGCGGAAAGAGCGCGUAGGCGGGAUAGCAAGUCAGAUGUGAAAUCCUAUGGCUUAACCAUAGAACUGCAUUUGAAACUGUUAUUCUAGAGUAUGGGAGAGGUAGGUGGAAUUCUUGGUGUAGGGGUAAAAUCCGUAGAGAUCACGAGGAAUACUCAUUGCGAAGGCGACCUGCUAGAACAUAACUGACGCUGAUGCGCGAAAGCGUGGGGAGCAAACAGGAUUAGAUACCCCAGUAGUC
RNAcentral lists this ribosomal RNA (440 nucleotides) under uncultured bacterium. RNAcentral's name for it is "partial 16S ribosomal RNA". It matches the Rfam family "Bacterial small subunit ribosomal RNA", at positions 338 to 795 of the family's 1533-position model. The record is from RNAcentral.